UGGCCGCCUGGAAGCGGAUGUUUCGGCUGGCUUACAAUACCAGGGUUGGCGAGGCGCAACUGGCCCGCUGCCGGUGUCGCCCGGCGCUGCCGA
RNAcentral lists this transfer RNA (93 nucleotides) under Allobosea sp. LC85. RNAcentral's name for it is "Bosea sp. LC85 tRNA-Cys". Lineage: Bacteria; Pseudomonadati; Pseudomonadota; Alphaproteobacteria; Hyphomicrobiales; Alloboseaceae. The record is from RNAcentral.